This 2090-nucleotide long non-coding RNA is filed under the name Helianthus annuus (common sunflower). RNAcentral describes it as "hypothetical non coding rna". Lineage: Eukaryota; Viridiplantae; Streptophyta; Magnoliopsida; Asterales; Asteraceae. The record is from RNAcentral.
AUUGUGUGUUCGGUCACGCACGUUCACGGAUUCCGCACGUGAAACGUUCGUUACGCAAUCGAACGGCGUCAAAACCGGUCCUACAAUUGGUAUCAGAGCUAGGAGCUCGAUUGCUUGAUCAAACACAUCGUUUCCGUACCAGAUUUCAGCCGAUUCAGAUCCGAUUUCAUCUAUUUCUUCAUCUUCUACCUAUUUUUCACAUUUUUUACUGUUUUUCGUCAAAUCGAACAGGUUUUCACGGUCCGUUUUAGCUGAAUUUUGGAUAUGUUGUGCGUAUAUACCUGAUCUACAACCCUACUAAGUUUCAGAUCGAAACUCCAAGCCGUUUAGGAGAAAUCGAGGUUUUUCGGGUCGAAUUCGCGUCAUACGAUCAGACAGGUUCGCUUUUACGAACCAAACAGGUUCGCUCAUUUGGUUUAAAAGCAGGUUCGCUCAUAAAGAACUUGAGGUUCGCUCAUAGGGUAAAAGAAAUUCAGGUCCGCUUAUAAGUUUGUGUGUUGGUUCGCUUAUAGAUCACCAAUCAGAUCCGCUUAUGUGACACACUAGGUUCGCUCCAAAUGACAUAAAGGGUCCGCUCAAAAGGUUUGAUUUUGGUUCGCUUUUGUGUCAUCGUUGUCAGCGGAACAGGUAAAUUGCAGGUGAGUUGAUAAAACAUUGUCGGCAUUAAUUGACUGCAUGUGACUAGAUAAGUUCAAAACAAUCGGCCCAAUCACCUUUAAAAAGUUUACAUCUAUUGUCGGCCACAAUCAAUCCAUGUGUUUGCUUGAAAGUCUUUGUUAUUGGCCCAUACAUUGACUGCCAGCUCAUUAUCAUUUUGUUUGACAUAAAGUGGCCCAAUCAUGUUGUGUUUUAGUUGAUAUUGGCAGCUCAUGAUUGGAUGAGAUUAAGGCCCAAUCACUGUUAUGAUUAACCGAUUAAUGUAAAAAAAUUGCAAGUUGGUAUUUUGUUUCAACGUAGUUUCAGAUCUGAAAAUGAUAGACAAGGGGUUGUUGGUUGGGCUGGAUAAAGAUUAUGUUUGUUUGAUUCGAAACUAUCGGUGUUGUUUGGCGAAAUAAGAACAGAUUUUUUUAAGCUGAAUCGGAAGUUGGUUGUUGUUGUUUGAUCGGAUUGAAAUUUAGCUGAAUCUGAGUUGUUUUUUCGGACAAAGAAUCGUUUCAAUUUUUGCCGAUAUCAGAUGCGAAUUUGCUAUAUUAAAGAAUCAGAAAUUAGAUUUGUUUGCUGAAUCGCGUUUACAAUUGAUAUUAAAGUUCUUGUUUGUGUUUUGAGAAAGUAAAAUCUGAAUUGUUGUUGAUAUAAGGCUGCUGUAGUGUUAGUUGUGUUUGAUCGACGUAGGGUGCAGCGACUUAUGCUAGUUGUUGAAGGAAUCGAAAAAGAGAAAUUGUGGCUCUUGUUAGUGGUAUUUCUUAUGAACACCUGAAGAACUUGCAACAAGGUUUUGAGCAAAUGUGUUAAAAGGUAAUCGGAGGUGAUUUGUCAAGUAUCAGAUACCCGUCCAAGCAAAUUUCCACUUGCUGUCUGUGUGAACUUUCAUAUCGUUUGAAAAACUCGUCUUUGAGAAUCUUUUAAUACCGAAGAUGGAUUCUGAAAUUUAUAUUGCACUAAACAAGUUCAAUAAUUUUACAGGUAUCAAUAGAGAAUCAGCUGAUGAAUUGAUCAAAAGAUAUGUCGAGUUGUAUUGGGAGAUGGUGAGAUUGAAGAUAACCAAGACUAAUGAGGAAUGGGUUAACAAGUUAGCAAAUGCUUUACCGGGUGAUGAGUGGAGAACGUAUUUGUCAGAUUUGAAGAAGAUAUACUUAGACGUGAAUUUGAGCUUGUUUAUCGAGAAAAUUAAAGAGCGAGAACAUGAACUUCAAAAGAAUAGUAAUGUAGAAAUUGAUGAAGGAAAAUUCAAAUCUGAGGAAAAUGUUCGAGAGGAAGAGGAGCAGGUUAAAGAAAUUUCAGCUAUCAAGGUGGAAAAGAAAGCUGAAACGGUAAAUAUGACAGAGAAGUGCUUAGACUGUGAAAAUCUGAAGUUCGAAAAUGCCAAACUCUUGAGGGAUUUAGAGAGUUUGACAUUAAAAAACGAAAAUCUUAAAAAUUCAGAAAAUGUU